AGAGUUUGAUCCUGGCUCAGAUUGAACGCUGGCGGCAUGCCUUACACAUACAAGUCGAACGGUAACAGGUCUUCGGAUGCUGACGAGUGGCGAACGGGUGAGUAAUACAUCGGAACGUGCCCGAGAGUGGGGGAUAACGAGGCGAAAGCUUUGCUAAUACCGCAUACGAUCUCAGGAUGAAAGCAGGGGACCGCAAGGCCUUGCGCUCACGGAGCGGCCGAUGGCAGAUUAGGUAGUUGGUGGGAUAAAAGCUUACCAAGCCGACAAUCUGUAGCUGGUCUGAGAGGACGACCAGCCACACUGGGACUGAGACACGGCCCAGACUCCUACGGGAGGCAGCAGUGGGGAAUUUUGGACAAUGGGCGCAAGCCUGAUCCAGCCAUGCCGCGUGCAGGAUGAAGGCCUUCGGGUUGUAAACUGCUUUUGUACGGAACGAAAAGACUCUGGUUAAUACCUGGGGUCCAUGACGGUACCGUAAGAAUAAGCACCGGCUAACUACGUGCCAGCAGCCGCGGUAAUACGUAGGGUGCGAGCGUUAAUCGGAAUUACUGGGCGUAAAGCGUGCGCACGCGGUUAUGUAAGACAGAUGUGAAAUCCCCGGGCUCAACCUGGGAACUGCAUUUGUGACUGCAUAGCUAGAGUACGGCAGAGGGGGAUGGAAUUCCGCGUGUAGCAGUGAAAUGCGUAGAUAUGCGGAGGAACACCGAUGGCGAAGGCAAUCCCCUGGGCCUGUACUGACGCUCAUGCACGAAAGCGUGGGGAGCAAACAGGAUUAUAUACCCUGUAGUCCACGCCCUAAACGAUGUCAACUGGUUGUUGGGUCUUCACUGACUCACAACGAAGCUAACGCGUGAAGUUGACCGCCUGGGGAGUACGCCGCAAGGUUGAAACUCAAGGAAUUGACGG
RNAcentral lists this ribosomal RNA (906 nucleotides) under uncultured beta proteobacterium. Its description in RNAcentral is "bacterial SSU rRNA". It matches the Rfam family "Bacterial small subunit ribosomal RNA", at positions 8 to 916 of the family's 1533-position model. Lineage: Bacteria; Pseudomonadati; Pseudomonadota; Betaproteobacteria. The record is from RNAcentral.